This 275-nucleotide ribosomal RNA is filed under the name uncultured bacterium. RNAcentral's name for it is "partial 16S ribosomal RNA". It matches the Rfam family "Bacterial small subunit ribosomal RNA", at positions 399 to 691 of the family's 1533-position model. The record is from RNAcentral.
GCGUGAAUGAAGAAGGCCUUAGGGUUGUAAAGUUCUUUCACCGGGGAAGAUGAUGACGGUACCCGGAGAAGAAGCCCCGGCUAACUCCGUGCCAGCAGCCGCGGUAAUACGGAGGGGGCUAGCGUUGUUCGGAUUUACUGGGCGUAAAGCGCGCGUAGGCGGCGUAUCCAGUCAGAGGUGAAAGGCCUGGGCUCAACCCGGGAACUGCCUUUGAUACUGAUAUGCUUGAGUCCGGGAGAGGGUAGUGGAAUUCCGAGUGUAGAGGUGAAAUUCGU